Molecule: ribosomal RNA, 875 nt
Filed under: uncultured Methanocella sp.
Lineage: Archaea; Methanobacteriati; Methanobacteriota; Methanomicrobia; Methanocellales; Methanocellaceae
Description: bacterial SSU rRNA
Rfam family: Archaeal small subunit ribosomal RNA
Source: RNAcentral
UCUGGUUGAUCCUGCCGGAGGUUACUGCUAUCGGUGUUCGAUUAAGCCAUGCGAGUCGAGAGGCGUCAUGGCCUCGGCGUACCGCUCAGUAACACGUGGACAACCUGCCCAAAGGUCCGGGGUAACCCCGGGAAACUGGGGAUAAUACCGGAUAAAUCAUGAGUACUGGAAGGUCUUGUGGUUGAAACUUCCGGGGCCUUUGGAUGGGUCUGCGGCUGAUUAGGUUGUUGCCGGUGUAACGUACCGUCAAGCCUGUAAUCAGUACGGGUUGUGGGAGCAAGAGCCCGGAGAUGGAUUCUGAGACACGAAUCCAGGCCCUACGGGGCGCAGCAGGCGCGAAAACUCUACAAUGCAGGCAACUGCGAUAGGGGAGCAUCGAGUGAUACUCAUUUUGGGUGUCUGUCCUCCCGUCUAAAAAACGGGAGUUAGCAAGGGCCGGGCAANACCGGUGCCAGCCGCCGCGGUAAUACCGGCGGCUCGAGUGGUAGCCGAUAUUAUUGAGUCUAAAGGGUCCGUAGCCGGCUUUGCAAGUCUUUUGGGAAAUCCAGCGGCUUAAACCGUUGGUCGUCCGGGAGAUACUACAUUGCUUGGGACUGGGAGAGGUAGGAGGUACUCAGGGGGUAGGAGUGAAAUCCUGUAAUCCUUUGGGGACCACCGGUGGCGAAGGCGUCCCUACCAGAACAGGUCCGACGGUGAGGGACGAGAGCUAGGGGCACGAACCGGAUUAGAUACCCGGGUAGUCCUAGCCGUAAACGAUGCUCGCUAGGUGUCACAACAAUCGUGAAUUGUUGUGGUGCCGUAGGGAAGCCGUGAAGCGAGCCACUUGGGAAGUACGACCGCAAGGUUGAAACUUAAAGGAAUUGGCGGGGGAGCAC